UCCUCGAAUUUUUGGCGGUGA
Molecule: small nuclear RNA, 21 nt
Filed under: Arabidopsis thaliana (thale cress)
Lineage: Eukaryota; Viridiplantae; Streptophyta; Magnoliopsida; Brassicales; Brassicaceae
Description: snRNA_10495
Source: RNAcentral